UACGUAGGUGGCAAGCGUUGUCCGGAUUUACUGGGCGUAAAGGGCGUGCAGGCGGUCUGUUAAGUGCAGGGUGAAAGCUCCCGGCUCAACUGGGAGAGGUCCUUGCAUACUGGCGGACUUGAGGGGGGUAGAGGAAAGUGGAAUUCCCGGUGUGGUGGUGAUAUGCGUAGAUAUCGGGAGGAACACCUGUGGCGAAGGCGGCUUUCUGGGCCCUACCUGACGCUGAGACGCGAAAGCGUGGGGAGCGAACCGG
Molecule: ribosomal RNA, 253 nt
Filed under: uncultured bacterium
Lineage: Bacteria
Description: partial 16S ribosomal RNA
Rfam family: Bacterial small subunit ribosomal RNA
Source: RNAcentral